This 406-nucleotide ribosomal RNA is filed under the name uncultured bacterium. RNAcentral's name for it is "partial 16S ribosomal RNA". It matches the Rfam family "Bacterial small subunit ribosomal RNA", at positions 29 to 526 of the family's 1533-position model. The record is from RNAcentral.
AUUGAACGCUGGCGGCAGGCCUAACACAUGCAAGUCGAACGAGUGGCGGACGGGUGAGUGAUGUCUGGGAAACUGCCUGAUGGAGGGGGAUAACUAAUGGAAACGGUAGCGAAUACCGCAUACCAUAAGAUGUGCCCAGAUGGGAUUAGCUAGUGGGUGGGGUAAUGGCUUACCAAGGCGACGAUCCCUAGCUGGUAGGAGAGGAUGACCGGCCACACUGGAAGUGAGACACGGUCCAGACUCCUACGGGAGGCAGCAGUGGGGAAUAUUGCACAAUGGGGGAGAGCCUGAUGAAGCCAUGCCGCGUGUAUGCAGAAGGCCUUCGGGGUGUAAAGUACUGUCAGCGGGGAGGCGUUACCCGCAGAAGAAGCCCCGGCUAACUCCGUGCCAGCAGCCGCGGUAAUUC